UAGGGAAUCUUCCACAAUGGACGCAAGUCUGAUGGAGCAACGCCGCGUGAGUGAAGAAGGUUUUCGGCUCGUAAAGCUCUGCUGGUAGUGAAGAAAGAUAGAGGUAGUAACUGGCCUUUAUUUGACGGUAAUUACUUAGAAAGUCACGGCUAACUACGUG
RNAcentral lists this ribosomal RNA (160 nucleotides) under uncultured bacterium. RNAcentral describes it as "partial 16S ribosomal RNA". It matches the Rfam family "Bacterial small subunit ribosomal RNA", at positions 355 to 507 of the family's 1533-position model. The record is from RNAcentral.